RNAcentral lists this long non-coding RNA (2139 nucleotides) under Marmota monax (woodchuck). Lineage: Eukaryota; Metazoa; Chordata; Mammalia; Rodentia; Sciuridae. The record is from RNAcentral.
UUCGUGUGUGACUGUUCCAAAUUCCCGACAGCCUGCGGUCAAGUCCCUUCCUUGAUUCCGAUAGAGGACAAAAAACUGUCAUACCAAACAAAGGUGUAGUUUUCCUGUCAGUUUGAUAACAAAACUCUACAUAUAGCUAAGGAUCUUCCUUCGUGACUCAGGUAAAAUACAACAAAACAAAUCUCUGUGAACUUAACACUCACCUCUCACCCCUAGAUCUGCCACCCACCCCAGCAAUGUCACCUUCAGUCACCCAGAAGUAGUCAUGCACAAAUAAUUAUCUAACGGAAUACAGGACAUGAUAUAUUUCUCAAACUGCUCUUAACCAACGGAAUAAAUGACCUCACUAGCUUAAUUUACUUUAAGUCAUCUACUUAGUUAAAAUAUUUAUUAUGUCCAUGGAGGAAGAAUUCAUCACAUCUUACCCUUCACAAUUAUGAGUAAUUAAGCGCUCAACUAUGAAACUGCUGAAUUAUUCUUGUCAGUGGGCAUGGAAAUAACUUCCUGUGGGAGAUGCAGAAUUCAGACAUUUGUGAUUAAAUAUUUUAUUAAGUAAAAACCAAUACUGGACUAUUACAAGGACUUACUGUUAGUUACUACAAAUUGCUCACAGCACAGAUCCUUCAAAUUUGUUCACUAAUAUUAAUACAAAUUUAUUUCUGAAAGCAGACCUUGAAAUCCAGCAUUAAGAAAUCUGCAAAGCCUCUCCUUUGGCCUUAACCACAGCUGAUAGCAAUGAGUUAGCAAUGGGUGAUUCAUCCAUCCCCCUCUUUCACCCCACCCCAAUCCCAUUUAUUUGCUUCUCUACCACGGAACUGGAAUUCUUUAUGCAACAGACCUCAAAAUUGCUUUCCACUUAUAUAGCUAAACUAAAAACUCAUUUGAUUUAGCUUUGUUAAUAUUUUAUUAUAUAUUAACUGGGGAUAAGACUUAUCAGCCUGAUUGAUGUGUGUACUUAAUUCCAAGGCAGCAUUUCUGUGUUUUCCCUGGAAGGGCUGGAACAGUGCGUUCCUAAGUGGGAACUGGUUCUGCAUUAGUCCGGAGAACAGCAUCUCUCAGGGCAAUGGUUCCUGCCUUAACUGUUCUCUGCACAGCAUAAACUUCUCUGGAUCUUGGAAGAGCUGAGGCAUAUUUAGGAUGAACUAAAAGGGAAACAUUUCAUAGGGCACAGAUUAAAAAAUCUUUCACAGUUAAAUAUUUUAAAAAAAUUAUUAGAAAUAGACACCCCAAUACUUGGUAGUGGUUUUAUAUACUAAACAGGCAACAAAUGGUUGGUUUUGUUACCAGAAGUAACACAUCAGCAGGAAAUCUAUAAGCCUGUUGAGGUAUAAAGAAGCAAAGGAAAAAUGCAAAAAGAGGUCUGACACCAAAUCUCUGGCUAUAAAUUCCAGGUAAGUUAAAAAUUCCUAGCCAGGGAACAGGACCACAAUUGCAAUGAGAGAAAAAGCCAUGGGGAUAAUUUAAAUUCAGAGCCACAAAACAUUAUUGCAAGGAACCUUAAGGCACAUUAAGGCCAACAUGCCCCGUUUCACAGAUGAAGAAACCAUCCAGAGACGCUGGCUGAGCUCAGUGGUACCAACCAGGGAGCUCUAGAGCCAGUGCUAUAACCCGGAACUUAAGAAAACCAGUGGAGUCCUCUUCCACAUACAGUCCAUUAUCUUUCUAAAUAACUUAACCUCUCGAGGGAAGUGAUCAAUUUGCCACCAUUUCUGCUGAAGGUGGAGCAUGUAGAAAUGAAAUCACCCUGUAGCUUAAGUCACCAUCAGACACCUCUUAUCUGUUCAAUAUCAAACUAACGGGUCUCUCUCCCCCUACUCUCCCAAAGUGUUCCUCCCCCAAUCUUUUCCAUCCCAAUAAAUUCAUCCAGAAACCUAGUAGUUAUCCUUGAUUUCUCACUUUCCCUCACCAUCCCCACAUCUCUGUUAACCAUCAAAUCCAGUAAUUUAUAAUUUCAAAACAAAAUUUAUUUAUUUAUUUAUUUAUUUUUGUAAACCAUCUUUUUCAAAACAAAAUUUAAAUGUUUCAAAUCUGUUUUACUCUCCAACCUGAACUGCUGCUAUAGACUCCCAAUAAUAGGACAUUAUUCUUGUCCUAUUAUUCCAGUUUACUGUACAGGCAAUAGCAGGAGUUUUAAAAAGC